CGACGUGUAGUUCAGCAGCAGAACACCGGGCUACAUUCCCGGAGGGCGCAGGGGCAGCACCUGCCACGUCGG
This 72-nucleotide transfer RNA is filed under the name Propionibacteriaceae bacterium. RNAcentral's name for it is "tRNA-Cys". It matches the Rfam family "tRNA". Rfam says of the family: Transfer RNA (tRNA) molecules are approximately 80 nucleotides in length. Their secondary structure includes four short double-helical elements and three loops (D, anti-codon, and T loops). Lineage: Bacteria; Bacillati; Actinomycetota; Actinomycetes; Propionibacteriales; Propionibacteriaceae. The record is from RNAcentral.